RNAcentral lists this ribosomal RNA (460 nucleotides) under uncultured bacterium. Its description in RNAcentral is "partial 16S ribosomal RNA". It matches the Rfam family "Bacterial small subunit ribosomal RNA", at positions 338 to 795 of the family's 1533-position model. The record is from RNAcentral.
CCUACGGGAGGCAGCAGUGAGGAAUAUUGGUCAAUGGGCGCGAGCCUGAACCAGCCAAGUCGCGUGAGGGAUGAAGGUUCUAUGGAUCGUAAACCUCUUUUAUAAGGGAAUAAAGUGUGGGACGUGUCCUGUUUUGUAUGUACCUUAUGAAUAAGGAUCGGCUAACUCCGUGCCAGCAGCCGCGGUAAUACGGAGGAUCCGAGCGUUAUCCGGAUUUAUUGGGUUUAAAGGGUGCGUAGGCGGCCUUUUAAGUCAGCGGUGAAAGUCUGUGGCUAAACCAUAGAAUUGCCGUUGAAACUGGGAGGCUUGAGUAUGUUUGAGGCAGGCGGAAGGCGUGGUGUAGCGGUGAAAUGCUUAGAUAUCACGCAGAACCCCGAUUGCGAAGGCAGCCUGCCAAGCCAUGACUGACGCUGAUGCACGAAAGCGUGGGGAUCAAACAGGAUUAGAUACCCUAGUAGUC